CCAGGAUCAAGUGCAACCACAGUUUACUUUUGAAGUUUAAAUGUAUCCAGAUAUUAUAAUAAAUAAAUGUUUGAUUCCCUUAUUAACAAUAAAUUGGCAAUUCGAUAUUUCUUAAGAGUAAUUGAAUUGUGGCUCAAUAAUUUUAUAUAUUUAAACCAUCUCCGUUUCUGCUACCAGAUAUUGUCAUGUUGACCAUUAUUAUAAUUUAUAAUGUUCACGCAAGGCAAUAUUAAAUGGAAAAUAUAUUGAACAUUACUGGUCAGUAUUUGAUGUGUAAGUUGGAAAUAAAUUGCAUAUUGAAUAGAAUAAUAUUUAAGGAAUUCAUUUUCAUGUUGCGAGCAAAUCGUCCGACUUGAAAGAUACAGAGGUAGUGGAUAUAAUAAAUAGUGCAAUUGAGAUUUUCCGCUUUCUCAUCACACCUCUUGUGGAAAAUUCUCAGAAUCUCACCAUCACCGAUACAGAUAAUGGAGUUGUUGCUUGAGCUAAAGUCCUCAAAGGUACGAGGAAGUGCCUUCCUUUGUUAAAGACGACCGUAAAAAUUGCAAGGGUAAGACAUUUAGUCCAGAUGGUAAAUAUCCCGGUUUGCAAUUCUGGAGCUACUACUAAAAUUGUUUCGUGCAGUACUUGAGCUGUGGUCGCCGUCAUCAAAAAGCCUAAAGUAUGUACUCUACAGUUUUCAACUCUUGGAACAUAUUAAAUAAUAAGUGAGCCUUUCAUCGUAUUAGCAGCUAAUCCUCAAGGAAACUCUCAACUCCACAUCUGGGUCAAAAGACGACGAACAUGUUCAAAGUUUUAACCAAAAACAAUAAAUUGAUUGGGAGCCAGAUUGGUCAGACGAUAAAUAAAUCUGCGCGAUUUUGAUCAACACGGGCAUAGUAAUUUACGAAAAUGCAGAUUUUGAAAAAUUUGUUCAUCGUAUAGAUGUAACCAAAGCCGAAAGAUUUAAAAUAGCACCUGGAAACGCUUCUUAGCACAUUGUAAUCUAUACACCGGGUAAACUAGACAACCAUCGUUAGCUAGACUCUUCGAGUACCCAAAACUGGACAGUUUACAAUCUUUAGCAACCAAGAGCUUUUUCCAGCUUGAUAGAGUUGAUUUUUACUGGAAGUCAGAGUACAAGUGUGUUGAUUCUGACCAGUAUAGACAUUGACAAAACUGGAAUUUCGUAUUACAGUAAGCAAGCAUUGCUUUAAUUCAAUACGAAGGGUGACACGGCCAUUGUUACUUUGCUCCACUUGUCACCAGACGGUCACGAUUUUAUGACUGCUAUCACUGCAUCGAGGCUCUAUAAGGCUAAUGGGUUUAAAAUUUGGCAUUACACUGGUACUCAGUUGUACAAAAGGCCUUGAAACAAGCAGGAAGAAUAGUGAAAACUCCUUUGGCAACGGCUUCCGGUAAAUUCCUUCCCGGAACAAGCAAUUAGUUACAAAGCUGUUGAAGGUAUUGCACCUAGUACUCAGGCUUCUAAGCAAGUAUACAGACCCUCCUCGGCUCGUAGUCGUACAAUAAAUUUCAAAUUGAAUGACAAUAACGAUGAUAACGAUGCUUCCAAGAAAAACACCAUCAACGCGUCGUCAGAAGCCGCGCUCAAGGCCAAGAAGAAGUGCGAAGCUAAAAAAAGUUAAGAGAGAGUUGGAAGCUAAUGUGCAGAAAAAAAAUGUAUUACUCCCCGAACAAUUGGCUUGAAUUUACACGGAUCAAUAAAUGUAUAUUAAUUGAAAAUCAACAGUGUUAAUAGUAUACAACAGCUAAUCUAUCUAGCAACAUUUCAUCGUGAGAUUGGAUUAAGUUUAUCAUCAGCUGCUGUGUCUCAUUUUUAAUCAACAUCAAUAAGUUCAAUCUGUAAUUAACGUUAUUGCUAACGUUAAUUUUUCUUCUGUUCUUCGCAUUAUUAUAAAUUUACUAUGAAAUACAAAUAGAUCAACUAUAAAAAAAAUUUUUAUUAAUUUAAGAAUUGAUGCUUCAGAAGUUUUUAUGCAACUUCUUAAUGUAGGCACUUAGCUGUGUAGGAAAAAUGGAGCUGCCAAAGAAUAAAAUAAUAUUCUUUUAAUAAAUUUACCAAGUUUAAAGUAAUAUUAUCCAUUGUUUAUUCUAUUUUGUUAUAUUGAUGUUAAAAUUGCAUUCACUAAUUUUUGUAGAAAAAUUUUUUGAAUAAAAUUUAUAAUAAUGUUAAUAAUAAAAUAAGCUGACAUCCGAACAUUUUUUGGCUAUUGUUGGACAGAUAAACCUAAUAAAAUUAAUUAUGAUGAAUAAUAUUUAAUACAAAACUUUCAUUUAAAGUUUUUCAACUUCUUAUAAUAAAUGUGUAAGUUUGGAAUAGUUCUCUUUG
Molecule: long non-coding RNA, 2329 nt
Organism: Microplitis demolitor
Lineage: Eukaryota; Metazoa; Arthropoda; Insecta; Hymenoptera; Braconidae
Exons: 3
Source: RefSeq, a predicted model, not a curated record